AGUAAUUCAAUAUUGGAAUUAGUAGGCGGUACAACUGCUAUAGAGAGCUUAUGGGUGGUGGAAAUAAGCCGGGAGUGCUACUGAACUCAUCCAAUUGAAGCUAGUCUGAAUCUUCAGUAAGACUAGACGUCCGCCGCGUUAAGGCUAGAGAUAAGCUAUUCUAGCUUAAAUUAGGUGGUACCGCGAAACUUUCGCCCUAUGU
This 202-nucleotide non-coding RNA is filed under the name Abiotrophia defectiva. Its description in RNAcentral is "T-box sequence". It matches the Rfam family "T-box leader". Rfam says of the family: Uncharged tRNA acts as the effector for transcription antitermination of genes in the T-box leader family. The record is from RNAcentral. Lineage: Bacteria; Bacillati; Bacillota; Bacilli; Lactobacillales; Aerococcaceae.